UGCUGUCAGAAUGACUCAGAUCCCCUCCUGGCACCAGCCUGCUCAGGCAGUGCAAGCUGUUCCUUUGGCUCCUGGAGAUUGGGCUGGUUCUUCACUUCUUUCUCCCCUAGGACUGAGGCCAGGGAGGAGGGGUGCAGAUUUCUGUGUUUCCACCCUUUUCUCUUCUCCCAGCACAGGGGUGCGAGAGGAGGAAGUGGAGGCUGCAGUGCUGGGCUCUGGGUUCAUUCCCUGUGAUUCCUCUGGGCUGCCCCAAGUCCUGCUCAGCACAUACACAACAGGACACCAGGCGUGCUGGACAAAUGACCAGGCAGUGUGGUACUUGAAUGCAAGGGUUUCCUGAAAAGUUACCAUCAAAAACUGGGUCAGGUGGACGAAUGCAGAUGGAGCAUUGGCAGUGAUUUCCUCUGAGUAAUGACGUGCCCUAAGAUUGUUCAGCACAGAGGACUUAAGCCACAGAAGGGAAAAGAAACGUUGAAAUCAGCCAAGGGAAGAAGCACAUAGUCUAGGAACAAUUCAAAAUGUGGAGAUCCAGCUGGGUGCAGUGGCUCAUGCCUGUAAUCCCAGCACUUUGGGAGGCAGAGGUGAGCAGAUCACCUGAGGUCAGGAGUUCCAGACCAGCCUGGCCAACGUAGUGAAACCCCAUCUCUACUAAAAACAUACAAAAAUUAGCUGGGUGUGGUGGCAGGCACCUGUAGUCCCUGCUACUCUGGAGGCUGAGGUAGGAGAAUUG
RNAcentral lists this long non-coding RNA (730 nucleotides) under Pan troglodytes (chimpanzee). Its description in RNAcentral is "long non-coding RNA NONPTRT003301". Lineage: Eukaryota; Metazoa; Chordata; Mammalia; Primates; Hominidae. The record is from RNAcentral.